Molecule: ribosomal RNA, 397 nt
Filed under: uncultured bacterium
Lineage: Bacteria
Description: bacterial SSU rRNA
Rfam family: Bacterial small subunit ribosomal RNA
Source: RNAcentral
GACGAACGCUGGCGGCGUGCUUAACACAUGCAAGUCGAGCGGUAAGGCCCUUUCGGGGGUACACGAGCGGCGAACGGGCGAGUAACACGUGGGUGACCUGCCCUCAGCUCUGGGAUAAGCCUGGGAAACCGGGUCUAAUACUGGAUAUGACUCCAUGACGCAUGUUGUGGGGUGGAAAGCCUUGUGCGGCUGAGGAUGGGCCCGCGGCCUAUCAGCUUGUUGGUGGGGUGANGGCCUACCAAGGCGACGACGGGUAGCCGGCCUGAGAGGGCGACCGUCCACACUGGGACUGAGACACGGCCCAGACUCCUACGGGAGGCAGCAGUGGGGAAUCUUGCGCAAUGGGCGAAAGCCUGACGCAGCGACGCCGCGUGAGGGAUGACGGCCUCGGUUGUAA